Non-coding RNA from Colletotrichum sp. SAR11_59, 78 nucleotides. The record is from the annotation of a GenBank genome assembly. Lineage: Eukaryota; Fungi; Ascomycota; Sordariomycetes; Glomerellales; Glomerellaceae.
GGACCCAUGGCGCAACGGUAGCGCGUUCGACUCCAGCGAGGCAUCGAAAGGUUAUCCGUUCAAAUCGGGUUGGGUUCA